UGNGAAAUUCAGGAGGCACUCUGUUCAGG
This 29-nucleotide non-coding RNA is filed under the name Mus musculus (house mouse). The record is from RNAcentral. Lineage: Eukaryota; Metazoa; Chordata; Mammalia; Rodentia; Muridae.